GCGGGCAAAAUAUCAGUCAUGAAAAUUACUGUUGUAAAUUUCAGGGCAAGCAAGCCUAAGCUGAAGCAUCCAUGAUAUGGAAAUAGCCACUGGUCUCAUAUAAAUUAGCAAGUUACAGUUAAAUUUACAACAUCAAGAGCAGGAAACUUCCACAGUGAGUUACAGUAAUCAAGUUUCAUUGGCAUGUCCAUGAAACCAUGGCAGUCCUUGUUGAAGGCAUUGUUUUGCAUCGCGUUGUGGAACAAUGGGUCCAAGAAAGAUCCUCCACAAGUCAAGUAUUAUUGUUACCAACAUUGCAGCACCCAGAGCAUCGAAGCACCGCCAGCCACUCUUGGUAAGUCCCACAGGUCACCAGGUUUCUCAUCGAUCCUCAGAAACAUUGGGAAGCUUACAAUGAAGUAGAUGGC
RNAcentral lists this unclassified non-coding RNA (407 nucleotides) under Hevea brasiliensis (rubber tree). The record is from RNAcentral. Lineage: Eukaryota; Viridiplantae; Streptophyta; Magnoliopsida; Malpighiales; Euphorbiaceae.